GAUGAACGCUGGCGGCGUGCCUAAUACAUGCAAGUCGAGCGAACAGACGAGGAGCUUGCUCCUCUGACGUUAGCGGCGGACGGGUGAGUAACACGUGGAUAACCUACUUAUAAUACUGGGAUAACUUCGGGAAACCGGAGCUAAUACCGGAUAAUAUAUUGAACCGCAUGGUUCAAUAGUGAAAGACGGUUUUGCUGUCACUUAUAGAUGGAUCCGCGCCGCAUUAGCUAGUUGGUAAGGUAACGGCUUACCAAGGCGACGAUGCGUAGCCGACCUGAGAGGGUAAUCGGCCACACGGGAACUGAGACACGGUCCAGACCCCUAGGGAAGGCAGAAGUAGGGAAUCUUCCGCAAGGGGCGAAAGCCGGACGGGGCAACGCCGCGGGAGUGAGGAAGGUCUUCGGUUCGUAAAACUCUGUUAUGAGGGAAAAAAAAAUGUGUAAGAAACUAUGCUCGUCUGGCGGGAACCUAAGCAGAAAGCCACGGCAAAUUACGG
This 496-nucleotide ribosomal RNA is filed under the name uncultured bacterium. Its description in RNAcentral is "partial 16S ribosomal RNA". It matches the Rfam family "Bacterial small subunit ribosomal RNA", at positions 28 to 506 of the family's 1533-position model. The record is from RNAcentral.